AUGCAAACAUGACCCUGAAUG
Molecule: microRNA, 21 nt
Filed under: Chlamydomonas reinhardtii
Lineage: Eukaryota; Viridiplantae; Chlorophyta; Chlorophyceae; Chlamydomonadales; Chlamydomonadaceae
Description: cre-miR909.2
Gene: cre-miR909.2
Source: miRBase by way of RNAcentral